CAGCAGCAAAAGUCCCAAUUUCUGCACUCAAACUUGAUGAAUGUGGAUUGGUGUGAGCUCAUUUGUGGUUACAACAUUGUUGUAGACGGCUUGACAUAAUUGGUAGCACUUUAGGAAGAGGAUUGGUGAAGGAAAAGAUCACUUGGAAGGAUGCAAUUCGGCACAGCAGUGCACUCGUAAGCUGCAAAUUCUGGUGUGGAAUUUCCAUGUGACAGCAGCUUCCUUACUAUGCAGCUGUAAGCUUUGUGAGAAUCCAAUUGCAGAUUCAAUUUUCUUGAGAGAAGCCAAAGCUGCACACCAAAUUUUUUUUACCAUUUCUGAGUACUGAAACAGCAGAACUGCACAAACACCCUUGCAGUUGAGAGAUUUGAGGCUGCCUACAGUGCAGUGUUCAAUUAUUCUGAGAAUCCAAAGUUGCAGUGCCACACUUUUUCCCCUUUCUUUGUGCACAGUUGUCUGCUAAUCUUGUUACUAAAUCUAAAUCAUUAAUUGAAAUCACAAGUAUAAAUGAAUUUAGAUCAAAAGUUGAACUGAUUUUGUCAAAUAUAUUUGCUGAUUUCCACUUUGCUUGGAGUAUUUGUUGUUUGGCAUGUUACAGCUAUGCAGAUGUAAUUUGGAAAGUAUUAUAGCAUUGGUUGCAGCAGUGGAAAUUGUGUAGACUUUCAACACGGCACAAGAGAAAAACAGCCGCAACAGCAGAUCUUCCAAUCAAGUUCAUUCUGCAACAUAUGCAUUUGGCAGCAAAACCACAAACCCCUGUGCAGCAGGGGAAAAUUGGAUCCAUCCUCCACAUCCAUUGCAGUAAAGCCGAGAGAAAGAAUUGGUGCAGUUGAGUUUUUUAAGCAGCAGCAAGGCACCAAAGCUGAGAACGGAAAGUGAAACCACAAGCUAGGAGACUCCAAAAGUAGCCAGCACAUGAAUUUGAACAAGAACCAGAAUGUGGCAGCAGCUGUUCUACUUUUCUUUGUAAUUGUAGUGUUCAUUUUUGAAUUGUAAUAGGUUUUCUGUGUUAGAUUUCUUUAAAGUGUAAAAGGCCAUUCCAAGUCCAAGUGUUUUUGGAAGAGUCCUUGGUGCUCCUUCAACUCUUGGCAAUUGUUUGCUUUACAUUUAGCUUAGACUGGUGAGUGUGUCUUGCUAGCCAAAGCUACAAGCCUCACCUUAGGAGUAGAAUUUUAUCUUACUUUUUUGUAUGUGAUUUUGUAUGUCGCUUAGGGACGUAGGAUUUAUUAGAGUCCG
This 1236-nucleotide long non-coding RNA is filed under the name Vigna radiata. Its description in RNAcentral is "long non-coding RNA (VRAD_LNC010175)". Lineage: Eukaryota; Viridiplantae; Streptophyta; Magnoliopsida; Fabales; Fabaceae. The record is from RNAcentral.